CUCUGAGCAAAACAGGCAACAAAAAUUUCCUCUUGACAAAAGGCUACACAUAAGAUCAAGUCGAUUCCCAGACAACAUAAUCUCCCUGAAUUGGAGCAGCACUCCAGCAGGCUGGGAGGAAGGGAUGAACCUGGGGGGAUUCAGGGGUUUGUAAGGUGUGGGCCCCCAGGGUAGGUCCUGCCUUGCCUGAAAAUGACUGAUUUGACUGCCAGGCUCCUGAAGGGGAGAAGUGAAGUCUGAAGUGAAGGAAGUCGUCCUGCGACCCAUGGAUCCGGCUCAUGAAGCUAACAGACUACUCCCGGCUGGAGCUUCGGAAUAAAAUUUAGAAGGUGCCCAACACCUUGAUCAGUGCCUGCUUUGUAGUAGGCAUUCAAAUACUGUGGACUGGAUGAAUGGAGUCACUUCCCUUCCAACCUGCACACCAACGUGGUUGAACUGCCUCCUUUCUAAGUGCCAAAGUCUGUUUUACAAGGCUGAUAUCAAAGGAGCAUUACAAAAUAUUGUCUAACAGAAGUACCAGGGCUGGAUCCCAAAGUUUUGUGUAGAUCUUGAUAAAGAGUUUGGAUUUUAUUCUAACAAGAGUGAAGAGCAUGACAAUGUUUGCAGAAGAGUGAUGGCUUCUUUCAGGCAACAGUGACAAUUACACCUCCUCUUUUUCUCUUUGAUCCUCCACCCUCUCCCUCCAGCACCUGGUACAAAGCUGGGUACCCAGCAGACACUCUGUAAAUUAAAGUGCUGCCAGCCUGAACAAUCUCAGUGGAAG
RNAcentral lists this long non-coding RNA (763 nucleotides) under Homo sapiens (human). RNAcentral's name for it is "HSALNT0168687". Lineage: Eukaryota; Metazoa; Chordata; Mammalia; Primates; Hominidae. The record is from RNAcentral.